AAAAAUGGCUGUGCAAAUGAUAAAUUUGGAGGCUAUGGUUCUAUACUGCCGAUGCAUUCAAGUAGCUCUGAGGUAUCCAUUAGCUCCAAAGCCUCACAAGUCUCGCGUUACUCAAGCUUCUCAUUAGAUCUGCAUGCAUUGAUUCUUCCUGUUGAAUCCUCUCAUGGCUUUGCAUGACUAGAAUUUCAUCAAGGGACCCACGAAAGGAAGCGUGAUGCUUGUCCGGAUCUUGCCCGGAUGUUCAUGUGCUUACUGAGGGUUGCAGCUGUGAUCAGAAGUCCAUUUCAUGCUUUAACUUGAUAAUAAGAUUGUUAAGAUAAUUUACGGCAUAAACUGUGUCGGCAUCACUUUUCUGAGGCUAAUGUUUGUCAUCAACAUAUCCAAUAA
This is a long non-coding RNA of Syzygium oleosum, 387 nucleotides long. RefSeq lists it as uncharacterized. The record is from RefSeq and is a predicted model, not a curated record. The transcript has 3 exons. NCBI's taxonomy places the organism in Eukaryota, Viridiplantae, Streptophyta, Magnoliopsida, Myrtales, Myrtaceae.